UAUUAGUUGAAUGCAUUUUAAAUAGGAGAGAGGGCUCGAGGGUCGCGGGGUCGGGCUCGAGAUCGGGAGGUCGAGCCGGAGUCGAGGUCGCGCGAUCGAGGUGACUCAGGUGAGGUCUGAGUCAGGUGAGCUGAGGUCGAGGUCGCGGAGUCGAGGUGACUCAGGUGACAAGGUGAGGUCGCCUUUGUCUGAGGUCGGAUAGAGGGCUCGAGGUCGAGGGCUUGAGGGUCGCGAGGUCGGGGUUGAGGUCGCGGGGUCGAGGUCGCGGGGUCGAGCUGGGGUCGAGGUGACUCAGGUGAGCUGGGGUCGAGGUCGUGCGAUUGCGCGGAAGGGUAGAAGGUGGAGGCUAGAUUCGUGGAACCCGGAAUUGGACGUCUGGAAGUCUGGAAGGAUCCGAACGAAAUCAGAGCAAAAACAGAUUUUCCGAUCGGCAGCAGAGAGUGAGACUGGGAGCGUCGGGCAUGGCGUCUUCUUCACCUCUGCUGGAGCAAACUCGCAUUCCUCUGCCUCCGAACCCUGUUGAGAAGCCUCCAGAUCAUGGACUCCCCAUUGCAUCAGUACCGAUCCAUAUUGUUACUGCUGCAAAUGAACUUCCAGCUGAAUUUUUGACCCCUUCACCUGAAAAGCAAUCAGUGAUUGGAUUUGAUUGUGAGGGCGUUAACCUAUGUCGCCAUGGAUCCCUUUGUAUCAUACUGGUGAACCCCAUUACAUAUCCUUACAUUGACUAAUACUAUGAUAGAGUUGUCGAAGUUGGCCCUCUCGCCGUCUGGGAUAUUUAUAAUUUGACUGUCAUAGGGUGUUGAUGUAGCAAUAUUCUGUAUAUGCUUCUAUAGUCUUAGAUCAUUAUUGUCAGUUUAAGAUGGUUUGUGAAACAAUAUCCUGUAACUGCUUUCAACAAUCAGCAUUCAGUACAAUGUAAUGUUCAGAUAUAAAUUAUUAUCACAGAUUAAUAUACAUUACUGCCUACAGAGUUUACAUUCUUUAAUAUUCAGAUGUCAAAUCAGAACAUUUUCACCGUAUCAUCUGUAUAAUGAAACAGCAAAGCAUAUAUUGGACAACUGUGAAGUGUCCUUUUAUACUUGUUUGUCUCGCUUAAAGAAUUCCCUAGCCUUCUCUUUGGAGAGGAGCAACAUCAUUUCAAGUUCUACUCAUGAUUGACCGGAAAACGUAAAAUGAUGGAAGAGGGGCUUUUAAAUGUUGUCAUGAAUUUAGAAGCCAAUAGGGAGGGCCUCCUCUCCUGAUAGCCAGAUGCAAACUAACUUAUUAUGCAGUCCAGUUACGAGAUCAAACCAGUCUACAAUACUAGUGAUGAACCUACCUGAAAGAGUGGCUACGUUUAGAGGUUGCUUUUCCAGAUGCUAUAUACUUAGUUGAUGCCCUUACUGGUGGAGAGACACUCAUGAAAGCUUGCCAGCCGGCACUUGAGUCUUCAUACAUCACGAAAGUUAUCCAUGAUUGUAAACGAGAUAGUGACGUCUCUAACUGUUUUUAUUUCUUUUCAUGCAUCAUCACCUGUCAC
Molecule: non-coding RNA, 1519 nt
Organism: Punica granatum (pomegranate)
Lineage: Eukaryota; Viridiplantae; Streptophyta; Magnoliopsida; Myrtales; Lythraceae
Source: RefSeq, a predicted model, not a curated record